AGGAUAUUAGUUUAAACUAAAACAAUUAAAUUGCAUUUAAUAAAUAUUAAUAAAAAUAUAUCUUA
This 65-nucleotide transfer RNA is filed under the name Scolytinae sp. BMNH 1040331. RNAcentral describes it as "tRNA-Ala". The record is from RNAcentral. Lineage: Eukaryota; Metazoa; Arthropoda; Insecta; Coleoptera; Curculionidae.